Molecule: ribosomal RNA, 873 nt
Filed under: uncultured bacterium
Lineage: Bacteria
Description: bacterial SSU rRNA
Rfam family: Bacterial small subunit ribosomal RNA
Source: RNAcentral
AGAGUUUGAUCCUGGCUCAGGAUAAACGCUGGCGGCGUGCCUAACACAUGCAAGUCGAACGCGCUUCGCAAGAAGCGAGUGGCGGACGGGUGAGUAACACGUGGGAACCUACCUUGAGGUGAGGGAUACCGGCGAGAAAUCGCCGACAAGCCCGCAUACGCUCGGUGACGAGCAAAGCUCUUUCGGGAGCGCCCCAGGAUGGGCCCGCGGCCGAUUAGCUAGUUGGUGGGGUAAGCGCUCACCAAGGCGUCGAUCGGUAGCUGGUCUGGGAGGACGAUCAGCCACACUGGGAUUGAGAACGGCCCAGACUCCUACGGGGGGCAGCAGUGAGGAAUUUUCCGCAAUGGAGGCAACUCUGACGGAGCAACGCCGCGUGCAGGAGGACGGCCUUCGGGUUGUAAACUGCUUUUCUGUGGGAAGAGAACGGACGGUACCACAGGAACAAGCCCCGGCUAACUACGUGCCAGCAGCCGCGGUAAUACGUAGGGGGCAAGCGUUGUCCGGAGUUACUGGGCGUAAAGGGCACGCAGGCGGUUGUGUCAGUUUGCGGGGACAGUGGGCGGCUUAACUGCCCAAGGGUCGCAAAGACGGCACGACUAGAGAGCGAGAGAGGGACCUGGAACUCCGGGUGGAGCGGUGAAAUGCGUAGAGAUCCGGAAGAACACCACUGGCGUAGGCAAGGUCCUGGCUCGUAUCUGACGCUGAGGUGCGAAAGCUAGGGGAGCGAACGGGAUUAGAUACCCCGGUAGUCCUAGCCGUAAACGAUGACCACUAGAUGUGGGAGGUAUCGACCCCUUCCGUGUCGCAGUUAACACGUUAAGUGGUCCGCCUGGGGAGUACGGUCGCAAGAUUAAAACUUAAAGGAAUUGACGG